AUUCUCCCAAAUCAUCCUCCUGAACGUGCCAGAUCUUGUCUGAUCUCAGAAGCUAAGCAUGGUUGGGCCUGGUUAGUACUUGGAUGGGAUACUU
RNAcentral lists this ribosomal RNA (94 nucleotides) under Ovis aries (sheep). The record is from RNAcentral. Lineage: Eukaryota; Metazoa; Chordata; Mammalia; Artiodactyla; Bovidae.